This is a long non-coding RNA of Papaver somniferum (opium poppy), 1616 nucleotides long. RefSeq lists it as uncharacterized. Lineage: Eukaryota; Viridiplantae; Streptophyta; Magnoliopsida; Ranunculales; Papaveraceae. The record is from RefSeq and is a predicted model, not a curated record. The transcript is spliced from 6 exons.
AACCCAUUAUCACCGAUUUCUUAUCGCACUUAAUCCCGUCUUCUCCUCCAUUAACAAUGCCAUUAUUUGCGCCAUUCAACCUCUUUGAUUCAUACCAUGAUAAUUAUGCGUUACGUUAGAAGAGAUAUCCUUUGGAAUUUUCCCUAUAUAAACCUCAACAGAAGUUAUCAUCUUCCCAGGUUUCUCCAUUUCUUUGUUCCGCAUACUCUAUCAAGGCUAUUAGGGUUUCCCCUUACCAUCGACAACUCCAGGUAGAAUGUGCAGAAGAUUUGGAUUUUGUUGAUCUUUUCAUUGCAGCGAGUAUACCAAGAUUCAAUUAUGCCUUUUAAGCCAUAUCCCUUCCCUUUAUAUGAGGGAUAGGGAAGGGAUGCCCUCUCCCAUAGUGCUUGGCUUCAAUGAUUGUUUUUUACUCUGUGAAUGGUAAUUAAGAACCAUUGUGAUGCACUGCACCCUCUCCUCAACCAACGUCAACAGAGUGUACACCAACAUUGACUUACCUGAAAUAUUCAAAUGUAAGAAAGGCUGCUAAUGUCGCUGUAUGUAAAGCCAGACCUGCACAUUGACAAAGUCACGACCAAUUAACCAACUAACCAUUGCCCAGUUACUUUACCGAAAUUACUUAUUGAGAAUGGUUGGUAUUCUCUUGCUUUCUAUGGUUGCAACAAGGAAGCUGUUUGAGGAUGCUGACCAUUGAUGCAUAAAAUGUACCUUAUCCACGUUGAAGUUGAUGAUGCAGUCGUACUGCCGUUUUUUAUCACUCUUAAAAUCUGCUGGAAUCAUUGAAGACAGCCGUGCUUUCAGGGUUCUCACCAAUUCUUCACCAAGCGGGUUCUCACCAAUUCUUCACCAAGCAGUGGAUUUUCAAGGUUCUCAACAACUGCAAGGAUUUUUGUUACUUACUUCCAAACCAAGAUCUUCUGCAAUUCUUACCUUUUAAAAGCGUCAACAUGAGAAUAUGAUAUUUUCACGACUGAAGUUCUCAUUCGCAAACUGUGACUACUACAAUCAUCUUCACAAAGGGCACAGUCAGUUGUAUCAGACAUGUACACAUUUGACGAACUUUACACAUGUUUUAUGAAGCUACUGGAGGAGGUGGGGUGAUGGAUAUAGAGGAUGAGGAGGUGAGGUGGUGGUGGUGUUGGAUGAGGAGGUGAGGUGGUGGUGCUUGACAACAUGUGCAAUUGACAUGUACAGUAAUUUUAUGUGCAAGCAACUUUAGUAAACAUGUUUAAAAUAAGGACACAUUAUAAACAGAGAAAUCACACGUUGCUACUUUUCUGACUGCCUGUUCGAGGUAAUAAACAGAGAUGGUUGUGCAUUUAGUUACCUCGUAAGCAGGUAUCGUUCUGAUUAACGGGCUUAUACCCUAAGAGGAUGUCAUUGGUUUUGUACUAUAUUGAUGUAACAACUGCAUUGGACCAGGAAGAAUCACUGAUUAAGCAUAAGUUAGACAUCAAGCAUAAGUUAGACAUCACGAUCAUGGUGUAUAUACGCAUUCAUUCCCAAUUCCCAAACUUGUAUAAAGUGGGGUUUCAUUGGGAAAUCCGUGUGGUAGGAUUUAAUUUAAUGAUGUAUAAUAGAAAACUUUUAUCACAGACUCGCAUACGUUUCCACAA